This 73-nucleotide transfer RNA is filed under the name Eutypa lata. Its description in RNAcentral is "tRNA-His". It matches the Rfam family "tRNA". From Rfam's summary of the family: Transfer RNA (tRNA) molecules are approximately 80 nucleotides in length. RNAcentral also lists the same sequence under 9 other names. Lineage: Eukaryota; Fungi; Ascomycota; Sordariomycetes; Xylariales; Diatrypaceae. The record is from RNAcentral.
GUAAAUAUAACUCAAUAGGUAGAGUGGCUGUAUGUGGCUCAGUAUGUUCUUGGUUCAAGUCCAGGUAUUUACC